Molecule: long non-coding RNA, 1053 nt
Filed under: Anser brachyrhynchus (Pink-footed goose)
Lineage: Eukaryota; Metazoa; Chordata; Aves; Anseriformes; Anatidae
Description: lncRNA (ENSABRG00000013645.1)
Source: RNAcentral
CUUUACUGGAGUUGUACACGCUGCUUGUGGCUCCGUUAGCAAUACUCGCAAAAAGCAUUUCCAAAGCAAUCGUUCAGUCACAGCACCAUUCUUGCUGCAGUACAGCAACUGAAGCACAUCACGUCCACUGCAAAAACAGCAGCUUUAUGCCAGCAGAUAGUGAAGCGAUGUUAAAGAGCAUUGCUAGGUGGCAGUUCUCAAUCACACCCUCAUCGAUUUAUUCGAUUUAAUUUGUCCAAGAAAAGGCAUGGAGACUCGUUUAUCCCAGGUCCCUUCCUGUCCCCUGUCUGCACCCUGCACAGUUUAGGCAGGGUGGAAGCACCCAUGCACCGGGGUGAGGGCAAAGAAAAGAGAAAGAUGGGCUCACUGCCUCUCUGCUCCUCCUUAGGGAGGAAGGAGAGCUCUGUCCUGCAACCAUCCUCAAGUUCUAGCAAAGCGUUCCCGCAGGAAGAUAACUCCUGCUGGACUGGAGAGCCAUGCCGGGAGGUGUUGAAGACAAUAAAAUUCCCAUCAUUGAAGCCCUAGUCAGACAUUGAAAAGCAGCCAAGCUCCUAAAGCUGGGACGCUGGAAAUAAUCUGUUUCCCUGCCAAAGCCAGAAGAAAGUUAACAAGCAAUUUAAGUUUCAAGGCAAGCCGUUUUCACGUGUGUUGUUCAUUUAUUUGUCUUUGCUAGACAGUUUUUUGCUUCCUUUCAGUCCUUAACUUUUAACUGUGCAAGGCUGGCAGGGAGGAGAAUGAUGUGUUGUGGGGAGGAUUUGGAAGGAGACUCAGACAACAUAAAAGCAGUUGUUUUAGAGGCAGAGACAGAGGGGCUGGAUCAGGUCAGCACUGCUAGAUCACAACAGCCAGAUACAUGUAGAGGACUGAGAUGCUACUAUAAAGAAAGUCAUCAGCCCACCUAACCCAGGGACAAGCCACAACAUAAAUCAGAUAGCUCAGAUUCACGGGUGUUGUAUUGAUUGUGUCUCGUGGUUGCACUGUCUGGAAAGAAAUUCAAAUGUAGCUGCACCGGCUCUGCCAUCCUCAGCUAUCCAAGCCACAGGCUCCUGCAGU